Molecule: long non-coding RNA, 982 nt
Filed under: Medicago truncatula (barrel medic)
Lineage: Eukaryota; Viridiplantae; Streptophyta; Magnoliopsida; Fabales; Fabaceae
Description: long non-coding RNA (MTRU_LNC006846)
Source: RNAcentral
UUUCUGAAUUUUAGCUUCCUUCUUUUCCUUGCUUUUUUUCAGAAUUUCAGCUUCCUCCUUUUCCUUCCUUUCAGGUUCCUCCUCUUCCUUCCUUUUCAUUUCAGCUUCCUCCUUUUCCUUCCUUUCAGCUUCCUCCUCUUCCUUCCUUUUCAUUUCAGCUUCCUCCUUUUCCUUGCUUAUUCCCAGAAUUUCAGCUUCCUUUUUUUUAAUUUUCUUCAUCAGAAUUCGAAGUUCUUUACGGCUUUUGGCAACAUACUCUCUAUACUGACCCUUGCCAGACCACGCAAUUUUCAGCCUAUACAACUGCUGGUUUAGAGGAUAAUUAAUUAACAUUAAAGAACUCAAAUAUGAACAAAGAAACUAAAACUGUAAAACUUGAAUCAAAAUCAUUGUUAGAGAAAAACUUGCCUCGUGAUUUAAAUCAGCAUCAGGCUUAUUGAUGCAACUACGAACGUCUUUGAUCAUUUCAUCAUAAAAGAUAUCAUAAUAAGUCUGCAGGUAUAAAAAAAUAAUAUUAAAGGGCUAAAACAGACAAAGAAACUAAAAAUUGUUUGAAUAAAAAGCAUAGCUAACGAUCAAAAAAAUCAUGCCUGGUGAUCUCUAUCAUUUUUGAUGAGAAGUUUGCCGGUUUUUGGCCCAGAUCUCCUUUUGCCGGUAUAUGUGGGUCCUGAGAUGACCCAAGUAGUUGGCUUAGAUUUCUCCUCGUCAGUCAUUUGUGGAAGAUUGGGGGAGAGACUUAACCUGCAGAGAAAUUAAAAAUAAUGAUGAUAAGAAAAUGAAAACCCUAAACCCCCAAAACCGACAAGUUUAUUCCCCGCAAUCAAUCAUAGAUUCAAAUGCAAUAAUAAACUACAAUUGAUUGAAGAAGGGAAUUAGAUAGGUUUUGAAGGAGGGAAAAGUUGCUAAAAUAUUAGGUUAAAAUUAGGGCAACAAAGCUUUGUUUAGCAAUAUGGUUUAUGGAAAUCAAUUAGAUAGGUUUUAG